AACGCUAGCUACAGGCUUAACACAUGCAAGUCGAGGGGCAGCAGGGAUUUAGCUUGCUAAAUCCGCUGGCGACCGGCGCACGGGUGCGUAACGCGUAUCCAACUUUCCCGUUACUCAGGGAUAGCCUUCCGAAAGGGAGAUUAAUACCUGAUGGUGUUUGAAGUUCGCAUGUUCUUCAAACUAAAGAUUUAUCGGUAACGGAUAGGGAUGCGUGACAUUAGAUAGUAGGCGGGGUAACGGCCCACCUAGUCUACGAUGUCUAGGGGUUCUGAGAGGAAGGUCCCCCACACUGGAACUGAGACACGGUCCAGACUCCUACGGGAGGCAGCAGUGAGGAAUAUUGGUCAAUGGUCGGAAGACUGAACCAGCCAAGUAGCGUGAAGGAUGAAGGUUCUAUGGAUUGUAAACUUCUUUUAUAUAGGAAUAAAACCUCCCACGUGUGGGAGCUUGUAUGUACUAUAUGAAUAAGCAUCGGCUAACUCCGUGCCAGCAGCCGCGGUAAUACGGAGGAUGCGAGCGUUAUCCGGAUUUAUUGGGUUUAAAGGGAGCGUAGACGGGAUGUUAAGUCAGCUGUGAAAGUUUUGGGCUCAACCUUAAAAUUGCAGUUGAUACUGGCGUCCUUGAGUGCGGUUGAGGUAUGUGGAAUUCGUGGUGUAGCGGUGAAAUGCUUAGAUAUCACGAAGAACUCCGAUUG
RNAcentral lists this ribosomal RNA (694 nucleotides) under uncultured Bacteroides sp. RNAcentral's name for it is "bacterial SSU rRNA". It matches the Rfam family "Bacterial small subunit ribosomal RNA", at positions 32 to 715 of the family's 1533-position model. The record is from RNAcentral. Lineage: Bacteria; Pseudomonadati; Bacteroidota; Bacteroidia; Bacteroidales; Bacteroidaceae.